Molecule: unclassified non-coding RNA, 643 nt
Filed under: Hevea brasiliensis (rubber tree)
Lineage: Eukaryota; Viridiplantae; Streptophyta; Magnoliopsida; Malpighiales; Euphorbiaceae
Source: RNAcentral
AAAAGCCUUAAGUAGACUUAUGGGAAAUAAAAUAAAUUUAGAUACAGAGCCAUCACUAGGAAACCGAUUGCUAGGCGUACCCAUUUACUGAUGAAAUUGUACCCACAGAGAAGUUAGAAGAAUGCAAUGGUCAAUGGCAAUGCGUUACCACUGCCAAACUCAUAUCUGCCCACUAAUGGCUUUUUCCCAUUUUAUUUUUUGGAAUCAAUUACGCUAAAAGCUUCCAUGGACUGAGGAACAAGACAAAAUAAUCAGAUUUCCUAUAACUCUAUUCCAGAGAGCACGAGGACAUAAAAAAAAUGCAAAUGGGGAACAAUAACAUAGUACAGAAUGCUUCGACAGUGAGCACAGCUCCAAGCCUUUCGCUAUGUCACAUCUGGAGAUGUUGAUCUUAUUGCCAUGGGAAGGAGGCUGCGAAAUUUUUGGCCCUGCUUCUAUGUUUCUGUACUUUCCUUGUCAACUUCACAACUUCCCUUUAGGGGAGAGAUCAGAUGUAGCAAGCUCUGCGUACAUCUUCGAUAUUUCGUUCUCAAAAUAUGCCUUUGCCUGAGGUCUCUUAAUCUUCAUUGUUGGGGUCAGAAGACUAUUUUCCAUUGAAAAUGGUUCUGACACUAGAGUCACAGCUUUUGCAAAUUCAAAACCU